Molecule: ribosomal RNA, 917 nt
Filed under: uncultured bacterium
Lineage: Bacteria
Description: bacterial SSU rRNA
Rfam family: Bacterial small subunit ribosomal RNA
Source: RNAcentral
AGUUUGAUCCUGGCUCAGAUUGAACGCUGGCGGCAGGCUUAACACAUGCAAGUCGAACGGUAGCAGGAAGAAAGCUUGCUUUCUUUGCUGACGAGUGGCGGACGGGUGAGUAAUGCUUGGGAAUCUGGCUUAUGGAGGGGGAUAACUGUGGGAAACUGCAGCUAAUACCGCGUAUUCUCUGAGGAGGAAAGGGUGGGACCUUAGGGCCACCUGCCAUAAGAUGAGCCCAAGUGGGAUUAGGUAGUUGGUGGGGUAAAGGCCUACCAAGCCUGCGAUCUCUAGCUGGUCUGAGAGGAUGACCAGCCACACUGGAACUGAGACACGGUCCAGACUCCUACGGGAGGCAGCAGUGGGGAAUAUUGCGCAAUGGGGGGAACCCUGACGCAGCCAUGCCGCGUGAAUGAAGAAGGCCUUCGGGUUGUAAAGUUCUUUCGGUAAUGAGGAAGGGAUGUUGUUAAAUAGAUAGCAUCAUUGACGUUAAUUACAGAAGAAGCACCGGCUAACUCCGUGCCAGCAGCCGCGGUAAUACGGAGGGUGCGAGCGUUAAUCGGAAUAACUGGGCGUAAAGGGCACGCAGGCGGACUUUUAAGUGAGAUGUGAAAUCCCCGAGCUUAACUUGGGAACUGCAUUUCAGACUGGGAGUCUAGAGUACUUUAGGGAGGGGUAGAAUUCCACGUGUAGCGGUGAAAUGCGUAGAGAUGUGGAGGAAUACCGAAGGCGAAGGCAGCCCCUUGGGAAUGUACUGACGCUCAUGUGCGAAAGCGUGGGGAGCAAACAGGAUUAGAUACCCUGGUAGUCCACGCUGUAAACGCUGUCGAUUUGGGGAUUGGGCUAUAUGCUUGGUGCCCGAAGCUAACGUGAUAAAUCGACCGCCUGGGGAGUACGGCCGCAAGGUUAAAACUCAAAGGAAUUGACGG